GUGGGGAAUAUUGGGCAAUGGGCGAAAGCCUGACCCAGCAACGCCGCGUGAAGGAAGAAGGUUUUCGGAUCGUAAACUUCUAUCCUUGGUGAAGAUAAUGACGGUAGCCAAGAAGGAAGCCCCGGCUAACUACGUGCCAGCAGCCGCGGUAAUACGUAGGGGGCAAGCGUUGUCCGGUAUGAUUGGGCGUAAAGGGCGCGUAGGCGGCCCGGUAAGUCUGAAGUGAAAGUCCUGCUUUUAAGGUGGGAAUUGCUUUGGAUACUGUCGGGCUUGAGUGCAGGUGAGGUAAGCGGAAUUCCCGGUGUAGCGGUGAAAUGCGUAGAGAUCGGGAGGAACACCAGUGGCGAAGGCGGCUUACUGGACUGUAACUGACGCUGAGGCGCGAAAGUGUGGGGAGCAAACAGGAUUAGAUACCCGAGUAGUCC
This 425-nucleotide ribosomal RNA is filed under the name uncultured bacterium. RNAcentral describes it as "partial 16S ribosomal RNA". It matches the Rfam family "Bacterial small subunit ribosomal RNA", at positions 354 to 796 of the family's 1533-position model. The record is from RNAcentral.